GGUCUAGUGAUGGUAGCAAAUU
RNAcentral lists this microRNA (22 nucleotides) under Strongyloides ratti. RNAcentral describes it as "str-miR-7880i-5p". Lineage: Eukaryota; Metazoa; Nematoda; Chromadorea; Rhabditida; Strongyloididae. The record is from miRBase by way of RNAcentral.